GAUCCCGUUUGGUAUAUUUCUCAGAUUCGACCGCAGCUCCCAUUUCCAAAACAAAACCCGACUCGAUUACUCUCUUCAACCUGAAGAAAAUCUCAAAUACGAACCCUAGCCCUAAGCCACCAAUCUGACUUGGAGUUCAGUCCUCUACAUCAUUGAUGCGUUUGGUCUCCAGUUCGUUCGUCGUCCUCGCACUAUCCUCUACUCUUCUCGCUAGGGUUUCAAUUUCGUCGCCGAACAGCCACAGGAUCGGUUCCUAUUUAUUGAAAUUUUGUGAGUUCUUCAACCUCUAGAAAAUCUCCAAUCCUAACCCUAACUCACCAAUCUAAAACGGAGUUCAGAAUAACCUUUAUGCUUUUAGUCGUUAAUUCGUUCUUGGAUGCAAGAAAGAAGACAACGAAGACUUGGGAGAUGAAAAGUCGUGCUCAGAGAACGACCUUCGCAUGAUGAGAAGCACAUGCUUAUUCAUUACGUAGCUGCCAGGGAAUCCGAAUAUCUACAGGUUGGCGAUGUGGUUUUGUUCGUGUGCAAUUCCUCAGUUGACUGCGGCGGAUCGAGACAAUUGGCAGGGUGCAGUGCACAUUGGUACUCAGUCGGAAUGACCCUUAAAGGGUUGAGUUUGCUUCGGAUUAGUUCUCAGUGUGUUAUCACUUCUCACUGUCUUGCAAUGAAGAGGUGAAGCCUUUAAAUAGGCUGAAGCACCCGUGAUGUUCGGUUAGUUCCAAGCACCCGUAAUACAUAUUAUAGGACUUGUAUAGUAUAAGAAGCAAGAACGUUAGGUAAUUAAAUGUGAUUAGAUUUUUCUAGCAGAUCAAUGAAAUGCUUGCCAGAAGAAUAAAUAUGAAUUUUCUUAUAUUUUAGUUGCUUAAACCCAUUUUUAUCAACUCGUAAUAUAUAUAAAAAAUUGCGACUAGUUUAGACCAUCCAUGAAUUUCGAAAAAGUUAAUAAUUGGACGCCACAAUUUGUUUACAAAUUCCAUUUGGAUGUACUCAUGCGCCUUUAAAUGGGCCAAUUGUGUCGCUUAUUGCUCCUACGUGGGCCCACUUUGUCUUUUUUGGACUCUUUUGUGGACUUAUUUUGUCGUUUAUGGCCUUAUGUUGGGCCUAUUUUGUCGUUUAUAGCCUAUAUUGGGCUAAUUUUCUUCUAUGGAAAUUUCUUUGGGCUUGUAUCGUUUACUGGUUCAGAUUGGGCUUUUUUGUCUUUUAUGAACCCUUAAUUGGGUAU
Non-coding RNA from Prunus mume (Japanese apricot), 1222 nucleotides. Lineage: Eukaryota; Viridiplantae; Streptophyta; Magnoliopsida; Rosales; Rosaceae. The record is from RefSeq and is a predicted model, not a curated record.